This 253-nucleotide ribosomal RNA is filed under the name uncultured bacterium. RNAcentral describes it as "partial 16S ribosomal RNA". It matches the Rfam family "Bacterial small subunit ribosomal RNA", at positions 524 to 776 of the family's 1533-position model. The record is from RNAcentral.
UACAGAGGCCCCAAGCGUUACUGAGAAUCACUGGGCUUAAAGGGUGCGUAGGUGGUCCGUUAAGUCUGUUGUGAAAGCCCUUGGCUCAACCAAGGAAUUGCUUCGGAUACUGGCGGACUUGAGGCUAGUAGAGGUCACUGGAACUGACGGUGGAGCGGUGAAAUGCGUAGAUAUCGUCAGGAACGCCGGUGGUGAAGACGGGUGACUGGGCUAGUUCUGACACUGAGGCACGAAAGCGUGGGGAGCGAUCCGG